AGUGAACGCUGGCGGUAGGCCUAACACAUGCAAGUCGAACGGCAGCACAGUAAGAGCUUGCUCUUACGGGUGGCGAGUGGCGGACGGGUGAGGAAUACAUCGGAAUCUACUUUUUCGUGGGGGAUAACGUAGGGAAACUUACGCUAAUACCGCAUACGACCUACGGGUGAAAGCAGGGGAUCUUCGGACCUUGCGCGAUUGAAUGGGCCGAUGUCGGAUUAGCUAGUUGGCGGGGUAAAGGCCCACCAAGGCGACGAUCCGUAGCUGGUCUGAGAGGAUGAUCAGCCACACUGGAACUGGGACACGGUCCAGACUCCUACGGGAGGCAGCAGUGGGGAAUAUUGGACAAUGGGCGCAAGCCUGAUCCAGCCAUACCGCGUGGGUGAAGAAGGCCUUCGGGUUGUAAAGCCCUUUUGUUGGGAAAGAAAAGCAGCAGGUUAAUACCCCGCUGUUCUGACGGUACCCAAAGAAUAAGCACCGGCUAACUUCGUG
Molecule: ribosomal RNA, 492 nt
Filed under: uncultured bacterium
Lineage: Bacteria
Description: partial 16S ribosomal RNA
Rfam family: Bacterial small subunit ribosomal RNA
Source: RNAcentral